Molecule: ribosomal RNA, 278 nt
Filed under: uncultured bacterium
Lineage: Bacteria
Description: partial 16S ribosomal RNA
Rfam family: Bacterial small subunit ribosomal RNA
Source: RNAcentral
ACUCCUACGGGAGGCAGCAGUGGGGAAUAUUGCACAAUGGGCGCAAGCCUGAUGCAGCCAUGCCGCGUGUAUGAAGAAGGCCUUCGGGUUGUAAAGUACUUUCAGUCAGUGAGGAAGGUAGUGUAGUUAAUAGCUGCAUAUUUGACGUUAGCUGCAGAAGGAAGCACCGGCUAACUCCGUGCCAGCAGCCGGCGGUAAUACGGAGGGUGCGAGCGUUAAUCGGAAUUACUGGGCGUAAAGCGCAUGCAGGUGGUUUGUUAAGUCAGAUGUGAAAGCCC